Long non-coding RNA from Bubalus bubalis (water buffalo), 951 nucleotides. RefSeq lists it as uncharacterized. Lineage: Eukaryota; Metazoa; Chordata; Mammalia; Artiodactyla; Bovidae. The record is from RefSeq and is a predicted model, not a curated record. The transcript has 3 exons.
UUAAAUAGUGAUUCUAGUAUUUGAGGACUAGACAGCCAAUGACACAGUAAAAGAAUAUUUCACAACAUCAAAAGCUAUUCACAGUAAGUGGGAAGAUGUGGUUAUAAUGUAAUUAUACAUAAGAUAAAGAAAUAGUAGGUCCCACAUCAAAACUUCAAUGGCAGCUAUCAAGGGCUAGGAUGUUAAGAUGGUUUUAUUUCUUUUGCUUAUCUAUAUGUUGUAAACCUUUUACAAUUAACUGUCUCACUUCUGAAUAAGAAGAACCAUAACUUUGACGGCAUAUUCGAAAGAUGACUCGGAGCCCACCGUGACCCUCAGCAGCAGUGAGCUGGGAUGAGCAGGUGUCGGGGCUCCGGGCACAGGCGAGCAGAGCACCUGGGACGCAUUCCUGCCACACACGGUGAGCCUGAAGGAAACUGGCCCUCCAGAGCCAACCUCCACCUGCAGGGAACACGGCCGUGAGAGGGCAAGUUCAAGGGCUGAACAUGGAGCCAGAGGACAAGACAUUCCUGCAGAGUCGCUCAGAGCAGGGAAUGUGAGACAGACGUGGCCUCGGCUCUGUCUGCUUGGCACCUCUGUGCCUGGCAAAUGUAGACCUGACACAUCCCUUCCCAACCUAAAGUCCCUCAACUCGCAGCAGCCAGGUGGUGGAAGCAACCAUGCGCCCACAGAGACGAAGGUGGAACAUCACUCAGUCUUAGAAAGGAAGGGGACUCUGCCAGUGGCUACAACAUGCACGAACAUGGAGACAUCACGGCGCGUGAACCGAGUCAGACACAAAAUGACACACAUGAAAAACAAUCAUCACCUUCAACCAAUUUGGGCGCAGUUUUGAAGAACUUUUGAGGAGAAUAUUUUCAACAUCUAUUUCCUCCAUGAAGCCCUACGGAGGCCUCUAGAGUUGGUCCUACAUCUUGAAUCUUGAGGAAGCUGCUGAGAGAGGAAAUACUG